UACGUAGGGUGCAAGCGUUAAUCGGAAUUGCUGGGCGUAAAGCGUGCGCAGGCGGUUAUGCAAGACAGAUGUGAAAUCCCCAGGCUCAACCUGGGAACUGCGUCCGAUACUGGCAGGCUUGAAUCCGGGAGAGGGAUGUGGAAUUCCAGGUGUAGCGGUGAAAUGCGUAGAUAUCUGGAGGAACACCGGUGGCGAAGGCGGCAUCCUGGACCGGUAUUGACGCUGAGGCGCGAAAGCUAGGGGAGCAAACGGG
Molecule: ribosomal RNA, 253 nt
Filed under: uncultured bacterium
Lineage: Bacteria
Description: partial 16S ribosomal RNA
Rfam family: Bacterial small subunit ribosomal RNA
Source: RNAcentral